UCAGUGCCGCAGUUAACGCAUUAAGCAUUCCGCCUGGGGAGUACGACCGCAAGGUUGAAACUCAAAGGAAUUGACGGGGACCCGCACAAGCGGUGGAGCAUGUGGUUUAAUUCGAUGCUACGCGAAGAACCUUACCAGGACUUGACAUCUUCUGUUAACCUAAGAGAUUAGGUGUCCCCUUCGGGGGCAGAAUGACAGGUGGUGCAUGGUUGUCGUCAGCUCGUGUCGUGAGAUGUUGGGUUAAGUCCCGCAACGAGCGCAACCCUUGUCUUUAGUUGCCAGCAUUAAGUUGGGCACUCUAGAGAGACUGCCGGUGAUAAACCGGAGGAAGGUGGGGAUGACGUCAAAUCAUCAUGCCCCUUAUGUCCUGGGCUACACACGUGCUACAAUGGACGGUACAACGAGUCGCGAAACCGCAAGGUCAAGCUAAUCUCUUAAAGCCGUUCUCAGUUCGGAUUGCAGGCUGCAACUCGCCUGCAUGAAGUGGAAUCGCUAGUAAUC
Molecule: ribosomal RNA, 501 nt
Filed under: uncultured bacterium
Lineage: Bacteria
Description: bacterial SSU rRNA
Rfam family: Bacterial small subunit ribosomal RNA
Source: RNAcentral